Molecule: long non-coding RNA, 3621 nt
Filed under: Triticum aestivum (bread wheat)
Lineage: Eukaryota; Viridiplantae; Streptophyta; Magnoliopsida; Poales; Poaceae
Description: long non-coding RNA (TAES_LNC027645)
Source: RNAcentral
CUCCCUCGUUCAUGGAUUUUACGCAAGUCGCCGGGCUGUACAAGACAUGCACACCGCCGGCUACCGGGGAACUAGCGUGCUACGGCGUUAGUCAUGGCUGCUCUAUCUAUCGAAUGAUUCUGCCGAAGUGUUGGCGUGUUGUGUCCUCAAGUUCACCACUGCAUAUACUUGAUCUACGCUCUAAAUCGGAAGGUAUGUCCAUACACAAACUUCAGCCAGUAGCUAGUUUUCUUCAUAUGACCUCUAAAGCCAAUAUUUUACUUCACAAAUGAGGCGUAAUCUUUUUAAUUUGCCUUUUCUAGUUUGAGUUGUCUAGAUUUUUCUUAGAUCCCAUUCACUUAAAUUUGCACAUUAGUUAGCAUAUAAUUCAUUCUUGAAAGUUUACAAUCUAAGAAUAAUGUUAAAGCAACUUUUGUCCGUGAUUAAAGUGUGAGAGAUGCCAACGCAAAAAAAAGUGAGAGGUGAGAUGACGAAGGGUGGAUGUCAAUUCAAAGACAUGGAGAAAUGGCCGAGAUAAAAAAAAAUAUGCACUUACUAAUACAUAGUAAAAUUUUGGUAUGACACAAGAACAAAGGGAAGACAUUUUAAUAUCAUACUUUUUAUGCGAUCAUAUUCUUCUUCGCCCCCCUCAAGUCUAAAUCCUGGCUUCGCCCCUGCUACCAAAUAGGCAUAAAAUUGGAUGGGUCAACUAAAUUAAAAAGAACGAGUACUUUGGUGACCCAGGGAGAAACAAUGCUAAGCAUGCGUACCUAGAUGGACGCGCAGUUCUUAGUCCACGAGUGAAGGAAGCUUACCACCCAAAAGUUAAGCACAUAUGCAUUGGGGACUUGAGUGGCAACAGCUCAAGCUCCGCUUUGAUCGGCAACCUCCAACUUUUUUUCUGAAAAAGGCUUUCGCCCCGCUUUGUAUAUAAAGCAUCGACCAACGACAACCCGGUACAAGCGCACGCCACCACAACACCCGCACCCACUCAAGGCAAGAUACAUAAGCGCUGAACGCAGCAACACCACCCAAAGCACUACAAGAGCAGCCGGGUGCUCGCCCGUGAACACACCACCGCAAAGAGAUGAAGCCGCAUAUGACGAAUCGUGGGCUUCAAGGCGGUGCCUUCAGGAAGGAUACAACACCGGAGCGCCGCCACCGCCCGACCCGAGAGUCAGAGUUUCCCCUAGAGCAACACGACGGGCAAUGAUGGCCGCGACGACACCUUCAGGAAGGGAGCGAGCUACGUCGUCGCCGAUCCGUUCGAAGAUAGGACAGGUUUUCACCCCGGCCCAUACUCACCGCCAUCGAACACCACACCCCGGCGACCAUGCCGCCCUCCCGACCAUGGUCACUGGGCAGCACCAAGGCACGGGCUUUGCCCAUGAGCACUGCAACACCACCACCAGGGCCGCCACCCCGGCAUCCAAGACCUCGACGCCACCUCACCAGUUACCCAGUGCUACACCACCUAUAGAGACGGGUGGAACGGCCCCACCUAUCGCACCCCUGAGCUGCCCCCAAUUGGCUGACAUCGGUCCGUCCUGCUGCCUGGCGCGAGACCAGCACAGUCCUGCCACCGGUCAUGAGACAGGCGCUGUCCUGCUGCCGAGCGCGAUACGGGCGCGGUCCUGCAGCCGUGCGCGAGACGGGCGCGGUCCUGCCGUCGGGCGCGAGACGGGCGCGGUCCUGUUGCCGGGCGCGAGACGGGCGCGGUCCUGCUGCCGGGCGCGAGACGGGCGAUGUACCAUAGCUGAGAAAAGCCCAGUCCUUCGAUGAAAGUGGUGCGUGGGCGACGGGGAGAGGAACCGAAGGCCGCCACGCGCGGCCUACGGUCGAACCGACGCCGAAACAUGUCAGCCACCACCGCAGCCGACAUGCCAAGCUACCGUGGGUCCCUCCACGGCCGGAGCAGCCGCCACACCAGGCCACUGCCCAUCCUGCGCCGCCCGCCGGACUCCAGGCGUUGAGUCCGCCGGGCACGCAGCCACCAGAUUGGCCAGCGCACCGGUCGCCCCACCUGCGCCGCCUCACGCACCACCAGACCUGCGCCGCCACCUCCACCACACACGCGCCGCCGCGCCCUGGCCAGAGCCGGCCAGCACCCCGCCCCACACACGAAGCAGCUGAGCUGCCAGCUGCCACGCCACCACCUGAGCCUGGCCGUCGGCCACCCCCAAGGGCCUCCGCCGCCGCCACCUCCCGGAUCUGGGCAGAGGCACCCAGAUCCGACGCCAGCAAGAUCCCCGCACACCCACCCCGGAUCCGCCAUGGGGGGAGGGCGGGAGGCAACGCUGGGACGCCAGGACGCCGAGGGGAAGGGGCCGAGCACGAGGGAGAGCCGACGACCGCCGCCGCAGCAGAGGAGGACCGCGCCCCCGCGACGCAAGACUCCAGGCGCGGGAAGAAGGCGCCCCGCCGCCGCCUACACCGCGCGUCCUUUUCCCGGCGACGCCACCAACGGCCGGGGGGGAAGCCGGGGCGAGGGGGGAGGGGGGUGGUGCUAGGGUUGGCUCCCGGAGUCGCUCGCGGGAGCGACUCGGGGAGCGAGAGAGGAUGGGUCCUGCUAUCGGCAAUCACCCUCCAACUUUUUUCAGGGUAGUAAAAUGUCUUUUUUUCUUUAGUAAAUAUGUUUUCUAAACUUUUUCUGACUUACUAUAUCUGUGUCGGGCGCUCUAGCAUACCCGCCACUGCUUACUUAAAUUUUGAGAGAAAUUGGCGCGUGUCACCGAAAUAUUGUUGUGACGGUCAUGCUUUUCGCCCGCCAAUGGUGCAUGAUAAACCCGUGGCGUGCAUUAAUUUAUCGGCCGACACUGCUGAUUUUAUCCCAGGGAUAAAUUUGUAAAAGUUUUUACAAGUGACGGUUAGUUAUUUGUGCCCGUCACUACUGUAUGCAUAGCAGUGGCGGGUGACAUUUUUUUAUCGGUCACUGCUAUUUUUUCAAAAUAGCAAUGACGGGUUUCUAUCCUCCCUCACCAUUAAUCUGAACCCAUUUGUAAGCCUUUUCCAAGUAGUGUAUGUAUUGUUAAUGUCGUAACAUCGUUCUGGCUCAUGUGUGAUACGCCGUGAUAGAAGUAUCACAAUGAACAGUAUGUAUAAUCCUCUUACAGUGUCUUGCGUGCAUUUGAAUACUGUUUUUGUACAUGGAUUUUUUUUAUUCUUUCAACGUCAUCAACGACCAGUAGCUGAAGCAUACUUUAUGUUGCGUUUGUAUAACUUAUGUGAACUUAUUUUCCUAUACAAUUGAACUGACAGAUCUUUACUACUAGGUUGGUGAUCGUACAGCCGCUUGCGAAGCCUUCAAUCCCCACGUACUGCAUUAACCCGAUCAGAUCAAAUCAAAUCUUUUACAACGCCUCCGUUGGUAGGUGUAAGGUAAUUGCAAUAAAGUCUUGUCAGAGUUGGUGGUGCAAUCAAAUCAAAUCAAAUCAUUUCCAGAAUUAGAAUAUGGUGGGUGUAAAAUAUAUAUCCGACCUGAUUGUGUUGAACCACUUGAAUAUGUAUGCCGCCGUGUUAACACAUGAGCAAUUAGCUAAUUUAUAAUCUUAGACUUGCUCGGUUGGCAAUAGUCAUUAGUUACUGUACUCGCUGCAUGAUAUUGAACAAAAAAACUUUAUAUUACUUUUUCUAGUUUUUAUU